Molecule: ribosomal RNA, 369 nt
Filed under: uncultured Glomeromycotina
Lineage: Eukaryota; Fungi; Glomeromycota
Description: LSU rRNA
Source: RNAcentral
UUGAAAGGGAAACGAUUGAAGUCAGUCGUGCUGGCGCGAAAUCAACCUUCUCGUCUUGAGAUCACAUGGCGUGGCGAGCCUCAAAACCGUCACGAAGCGUGAACUCUCGGUGAAAUGGAGCACUUUCGUGUCCGCUGGUUAACAUCAAUUUCGAACGUCAUAAAAAGGCUGGAGGGAUGUGGCUCCUUCGGGAGUGUUAUAACCUUUAGCGGAAUGUGGUGUUCGGGAUUGAGGAUUGCAACGAAUACCUUUAGGGCUGUUCCACCUGGCUUCUCUUUGGUAUCCUGGUGACGACAGCUUGCUGACGUCGUUAGGAUUCGCCUUUGAACAGGUUAGAGUGUGAGCAAAUUCGUUAAGGAUGUUGACGUA